GAUGAAGAACGCAGCAAAAUGCGAUAAGUAAUGUGAAUUGAAGAAUUCAGUGAAUCAUCGAAUCUUUGAACGCACAUUGCGCCCGCCAGUAUUCUGGCGGGCAUGCCUGUUCGAGCGUCAUUUCAACCCUCAAGCCCCCGGGUUUGGUGUUGGGGAUCGGGCUGUACUCCAGCCCGGCCCCGAAAUCUAGUGGCGGUCUCGCUGCAGCCUCCAUUGCGUAGUAGCUAACACCUCGCAACUGGAACGCGGCGCGGCCAAGCCGUUAAACCCCCAACUUCUGAAUGUUGACCUCGGAUCAGGUAGGAAUACCCGCUGAACUUAAGCAUAUCAAUAAGCGGAGGA
RNAcentral lists this unclassified non-coding RNA (342 nucleotides) under soil metagenome. RNAcentral describes it as "partial contains 5.8S ribosomal RNA, internal transcribed spacer 2, and large subunit ribosomal RNA". The stretch from base 1 to 120 matches the Rfam family "5.8S ribosomal RNA", at positions 35 to 154 of the family's 154-position model. The record is from RNAcentral.